Molecule: ribosomal RNA, 389 nt
Filed under: uncultured Methanomicrobiales archaeon
Lineage: Archaea; Methanobacteriati; Methanobacteriota; Methanomicrobia; Methanomicrobiales
Description: bacterial SSU rRNA
Rfam family: Archaeal small subunit ribosomal RNA
Source: RNAcentral
UCGGGCUGAAGACUCUACUUGACUAGCUGAGAGGAGGUGCAUGGCCGUCGUCAGUUCGUACUGUGAAGCAUCCUGUUAAGGUCAGGCAACGAGCGAGACCCACGCCAACAGUUGCCAGCUCGUCCUCCGGGAUGGUGGGGACACUGUUGGGACCGCCUCUGCUAAAGAGGAGGAAGGGAAUGGGGCAACGGUAGGUCAGCAUGCCCCGAAUUAUCUGGGCUACACGCGGGCUACAAUGGGUGGGACAAUGGGUAUCGACACCGAAAGGGUGAAGGCAAUCUCCUAAACCCAUCCGUAGUUCGGAUUGUGGGCUGCAACUCGCCCACAUGAAGCUGGAAUCUGUAGUAAUCGUGUCUCAAAAUGGCACGGUGAAUAUGUCCCUGCUCCUU